AGUUGCUUUAGUCUGAUUCAGCAGGUAUGUCAAAAACCAAAGAAUCGUGGCCCCUUAAAGGCUAGCAGAUUUAUUUUGGUAGAUUACAAUACACUUGUGUCUGAGAAAGUAGAUUGUACUCCAAGGAAGCUUGCAAUGAAAUUCGUCGAUUAGUCUUUAAGGUGACAUUGUUUUGCUGUUAUUCUUGCUAAUGUUACAGUUGAGCAUUUUUUUUGCCCAUUUUUAGACAAAAAGCAAAAAGAAGAACUUGUUGCUGCCAGAUGCCAACUCAUAAUGCCACAUUGGAAUGUAAUGACCAAACUCAUCUUCCAUAGUUAUGUCAGCAUAACACUUUUGGAAUAACUAUUGGAGUUUGAGGAAAGAUCUUCCAUGACCGAAUUGUGACAGGAUCGCCUACAGUGAAUGAAGCAACUGCAAGACAUAAUGUGAAAAUCCGCGCUCAGACAAUAUGUUUGCCUUUUGUAUUGUUGUCUCCUGGUCAGCUCAGUGUAUGAUAAAAGAGAACACAAAGUUGCUACUCAAGCUUGUUGGUAUGGGUGAAAUUUGACAAUUGCCAAUACUUGUUUUUGGAAUCAGUGCAAACCCUAUACUCAAACUUU
This 599-nucleotide long non-coding RNA is filed under the name Pogona vitticeps (central bearded dragon). Its description in RNAcentral is "lncRNA (ENSPVIG00000003710.1)". Lineage: Eukaryota; Metazoa; Chordata; Lepidosauria; Squamata; Agamidae. The record is from RNAcentral.